This 111-nucleotide long non-coding RNA is filed under the name Sus scrofa (pig). Its description in RNAcentral is "lncRNA (ENSSSCG00070014804.1)". Lineage: Eukaryota; Metazoa; Chordata; Mammalia; Artiodactyla; Suidae. The record is from RNAcentral.
GCUCUUUCCCAGUCAUAGGCACCCCGCUAAUGGGUCGGGGACAGAAGAAACCCCGGGCUCCCAUGAAAGGCUGCCCAGCUACGCAGGAGGAAUAGAGGCUCCAAGUGGCUG